Molecule: non-coding RNA, 77 nt
Organism: Podarcis lilfordi (Lilford's wall lizard)
Lineage: Eukaryota; Metazoa; Chordata; Lepidosauria; Squamata; Lacertidae
Source: the annotation of a GenBank genome assembly
AGCAGCUGAUAGCUCAGUCAGUAAAGCGUGAGACACUUAAAUAUCAGGGUCUUGGGUUCAAUCCCCACAUUGGGCAA